AGGAUUAACGCUGGCGGCGUGCAUGAAACAUGCAAGUCGAGCGCGGUGUGAUGCGGGGUAACCCAAUUCACAUCUAGCGGCGAACGGGUGAGUAACACGUGAGCAACCUACCUUUGAGUUGGGGAUAGCCCUGGGAAACCAGGAUUAAUACCCGAUGUGGUCACAACAGGACAUCCUGAUGUGAGUAAAGGCGUAAGCCGCUCAAUGACGGGCUCGCGGCCUAUUAGCUUGUUGGUGGGGUAACGGCCUACCAAGGCGAUGAUGGGUAGCUGGUCUGAGAGGACGACCAGCCACACUGGAACUGAGACACGGUCCAGACACCUACGGGUGGCAGCAGUCGAGAAUUUUUCACAAUGGGGAAACCCUGAUGGAGCGACGCCGCGUGGAGGAUGAAGGCCCUCGGGUCGUAAACUCCUGUCAUGACGGGAAAAGAAGUGAUAGUACCGCAAGGAGGAAGAGACGGACUAACUCUGUGCCAGCACGCCGGCGGUAAUCGUGA
RNAcentral lists this ribosomal RNA (499 nucleotides) under uncultured bacterium. Its description in RNAcentral is "SSU rRNA". It matches the Rfam family "Bacterial small subunit ribosomal RNA", at positions 26 to 529 of the family's 1533-position model. The record is from RNAcentral.